GACGAACGCUGGCGGCGUGCUUAACACAUGCAAGUCGAACGGAAAGGCCCUGCUUUUGUGGGGUGCUCGAGUGGCGAACGGGUGAGUAACACGUGAGUAACCUGCCCUUGACUUUGGGAUAACUUCAGGAAACUGGGGCUAAUACCGGAUAGGAGCUCCUGCUGCAUGGUGGGGGUUGGAAAGUUUCGGCGGUUGGGGAUGGACUCGCGGCUUAUCAGCUUGUUGGUGGGGUAGUGGCUUACCGAGGCUUUGACGGGUAGCCGGCCUGAGAGGGUGACCGGCCACAUUGGGACUGAGAUACGGCCCAGACUCCUACGGGAGGCAGCAGUGGGGAAUAUUGCACAAUGGGCGGAAGCCUGAUGCAGCAACGCCGCAUGCGGGAUGACGGCCUUCGGGUUGUAAACCGCUUUCGCCUGUGACGAAGCGUGAGUGACGGUAAUGGGUAAAGAAGCACCGGCUAACUACGUG
Molecule: ribosomal RNA, 468 nt
Filed under: uncultured bacterium
Lineage: Bacteria
Description: partial 16S ribosomal RNA
Rfam family: Bacterial small subunit ribosomal RNA
Source: RNAcentral